This 253-nucleotide ribosomal RNA is filed under the name uncultured bacterium. Its description in RNAcentral is "partial 16S ribosomal RNA". It matches the Rfam family "Bacterial small subunit ribosomal RNA", at positions 524 to 776 of the family's 1533-position model. The record is from RNAcentral.
UACGAAGGUCCCAAGCGUUAUCCGGAUUUAUUGGGUUUAAAGGGUGCGUAGGCGGGUUAUUAAGUCAGUGGUGAAAGCUCUCAGCCUAACUGAGAAAUUGCCAUUGAUACUGAUGAUCUUGAGUACAUUUGAAGUGGGCGGAAUGUGUCAUGUAGUGGUGAAAUACUUAGAUAUGACACAGAACACCGAUUGCGUAGGCAGCUCGCUAAACUGUAACUGACGCUGAGGCACGAAAGCGUGGGGAGCAAACAGG